GCAUUGGUGGUUCAGUGGUAGAAUUCUAGCUUGCCAUGUUGGAGGCCGGGGUUUCGAUUCCCAGCCAAUGCA
Molecule: transfer RNA, 72 nt
Filed under: Ameiurus melas (black bullhead)
Lineage: Eukaryota; Metazoa; Chordata; Actinopteri; Siluriformes; Ictaluridae
Rfam family: tRNA
About the family: Transfer RNA (tRNA) molecules are approximately 80 nucleotides in length. Their secondary structure includes four short double-helical elements and three loops (D, anti-codon, and T loops). Further hydrogen bonds mediate the characteristic L-shaped molecular structure. tRNAs have two regions of fundamental functional importance: the anti-codon, which is responsible for specific mRNA codon recognition, and the 3' end, to which the tRNAs corresponding amino acid is attached (by aminoacyl-tRNA synthetases). tRNAs cope with the degeneracy of the genetic code in two manners: having more than one tRNA (with a specific anti-codon) for a particular amino acid; and 'wobble' base-pairing, i.e. permitting non-standard base-pairing at the 3rd anti-codon position.
Source: Rfam by way of RNAcentral